This 76-nucleotide transfer RNA is filed under the name Candidatus Spechtbacteria bacterium RIFCSPHIGHO2_01_FULL_43_30. Its description in RNAcentral is "tRNA-Lys". It matches the Rfam family "tRNA". Rfam says of the family: Transfer RNA (tRNA) molecules are approximately 80 nucleotides in length. Their secondary structure includes four short double-helical elements and three loops (D, anti-codon, and T loops). The record is from RNAcentral. RNAcentral also lists the same sequence under 1 other name. Lineage: Bacteria; Candidatus Spechtiibacteriota.
GCGCCCAUAGCUCAGUUGGUAGAGCAGCUCCCUUUUAAGGAGAUGGUCGCAGGUCCGAUCCCUGCUGGGCGCACUA